CUGAGAGACACUCAACACUGAUUUAAAGAAGCUCAGCUGAUAAACUCCAGCUUCAACAGCACCUGUGACCUCAGGGAUUCUGUGACAGUAUGGAUUUUUUCAAAACGGUGGGUGCCGUGGCCUCGGGCUUGGCGGAGGGGACGGUGGGCAUGGUCAGAGCUGUGGUGGACGUCCCAGUGGGGAUGGUGAAAGGAGCCACUGACAGCAUUAUAGAAGCCAGCAGUAAACUCAACAGCGCCAACUCACCCGGUGAAGGAGUGGAUGCCGUCUUUAGUCUGCUGACGUCUCCAGUGACUGGCGCGGUGGCCGGAGGAACCAAAGAGAUCGUCAAAGCACCUGGAAAACUUGUGCAGAGUGUGACUGAAGGCGUUACAAAAGUUUUAGAUGACUAGGAAGAAUUAACAAUUUUAAAAGCAUGUAAUCACAUAAAAGCACAUUAACCUUGCAGUAACCUUUGAUCUUAGAAUCAUCAAAAAAAAAAAAAAUGUGAUGUGAAAAAUAAUUUAUACACUCACAGGUUUGAUGGUGUCUACAAAUUACUUAAUGUAUUAUCAUAAAUCAGCACUGAUCAUUUCACAUUUAUGAAAGUUAUGCUAAUUAAACUUUGUCACACAUUU
Molecule: long non-coding RNA, 617 nt
Organism: Carassius auratus (goldfish)
Lineage: Eukaryota; Metazoa; Chordata; Actinopteri; Cypriniformes; Cyprinidae
Exons: 2
Source: RefSeq, a predicted model, not a curated record